Molecule: transfer-messenger RNA, 363 nt
Filed under: Abditibacteriaceae
Lineage: Bacteria; Pseudomonadati; Abditibacteriota; Abditibacteriia; Abditibacteriales
Also listed under: 1 other name
Description: JAFAZH01 sp019239895 Standard tmRNA
Rfam family: transfer-messenger RNA
About the family: Bacterial tmRNA, also known as 10Sa RNA or SsrA, is named for its dual tRNA and mRNA-like properties.
Source: RNAcentral
GGGGGCGACAGGUUUCGACGUGGAGCCUGAAAGCAACGGUUGCAGGUCGAGUUGCUCAGACUCGUAAAACGGGGCAAAAACACAAUUGCCAACACUUACCAGGCUCCCCUGGCUCUGGCUGCUUAAUUAGCAACCAUGCUCUUUGCAAUUUUGUCCGUCGGGCUGCAUUGAGUAUCACUUUAGACGGAUGUUACCAGAGCGGUUCGUUCGCCCCGACUUCGGUAACGGCAUAAAUGCGGACUCGGUGCCCGUUUUCCCGUCGUUGUGUCGGGGACGUGUACCUAAACUAAAACACAACUAAACCUGUAGAUACUGUUGUCGUUCACUUUGCGGACCAGAGUUCAAUUCUCUGCGCCUCCAUUC